UUAGGGUUGGGCCUCCUCGGCCACCGUCGCCCGCUCGUCUGUCGCGGCGCCUCGGUCCACCGAAAGUCCGUCUGCGGAGGUGCUGAAGGCACAGCCCGGGUCGCUAGAGUGCUGACCGCGGGGACAGCACGGAAGCGUCAGGUGUCUGCCCCCGCGCCCUUGCCUCUCACCUGCCCGCGGGCGGACCCGCGGCCUCAGUGCAGGGACUCCUCGAGAGCGUUGCCUGGCCUGAGAUCCGGGGCCGGGGCUGUGCUCGCGCCCUCUGUGUCUGCAGUCCGCUGGGCACCGGCCUGGGGGCAGCUUGUCCCGCCGCCGCGGGCGCCUCUGGCCCUGGCUGCAGCGCAGGGGAUCCCAGCCUUCGGACUGGCGACCUGGCAGGAGACGAACAGGAAGGGAAAAGGCCUAGAAAAUUAAGCCGGCCGAAGAAGAGCUGCACGUUUGGUGGUCAGGCAAGGCCGAUAGCUUUGGGGAUCGCGGAACACGAAAGUUGUCCGGGUGUCCGGUGUAGCUGGUCCUAGAGACAGGAGGCCCGCCACACAGGGCCGUAUGAGAAGGACACCCGGGUGGUCAAGAGGCAGAAAACAGAAGCAGGGGUGGAGUACUUAGGCCGCAGCCUUUACUGGACUUUCUUCAGGAAAGGUACAACAGGGCAGGAGCAGUUCUUUUCAUUUGUGAGACAGAAAGGAUGUAUUUGCAUAUGGAAAUUAAGG
This is a long non-coding RNA of Diceros bicornis minor, 710 nucleotides long. RefSeq lists it as uncharacterized. The transcript is spliced from 3 exons. Lineage: Eukaryota; Metazoa; Chordata; Mammalia; Perissodactyla; Rhinocerotidae. The record is from RefSeq and is a predicted model, not a curated record.